UGAUAGGUAAACUCAGUAAUCUCUCUGUGAAAACUGCGGAGGGAUCAUUACUGAGUUUACGCUCUAUAACCCUUUGUGAACAUACCUAUAACUGUUGCUUCGGCGGGUAGGGUCUCCGCGACCCUCCCGGCCUCCCGCCUCCGGGCGGGUCGGCGCCCGCCGGAGGAUAACCAAACUCUGAUUUAACGACGUUUCUUCUGAGUGGUACAAGCAAAUAAUCAAAACUUUUAACAACGGAUCUCUUGGUUCUGGCAUCGAUGAAGAACGCAGCGAAAUGCGAUAAGUAAUGUGAAUUGCAGAAUUCAGUGAAUCAUCGAAUCUUUGAACGCACAUUGCGCCCGCCAGCAUUCUGGCGGGCAUGCCUGUUCGAGCGUCAUUUCAACCCUCAAGCUCUGCUUGGUGUUGGGGCCCUACAGCUGAUGCAGGCCCUCAAAGGUAGUGGCGGACCCUCCCGGAGCCUCCUUUGCGUAGUAACUUUACGUCUCGCACUGGGAUCCGGAGGGACUCUUGCCGUAAAACCCCCCAAUUUUCCAAAGGUUGACCUCGGAUCAGUCACGAAGGCCACCCUGAAGCUAAA
Molecule: ribosomal RNA, 577 nt
Filed under: Colletotrichum gloeosporioides
Lineage: Eukaryota; Fungi; Ascomycota; Sordariomycetes; Glomerellales; Glomerellaceae
Description: eukaryotic LSU rRNA
Rfam family: 5.8S ribosomal RNA (bases 223-376)
Source: RNAcentral